RNAcentral lists this ribosomal RNA (380 nucleotides) under uncultured cyanobacterium. RNAcentral's name for it is "bacterial SSU rRNA". It matches the Rfam family "Bacterial small subunit ribosomal RNA", at positions 376 to 770 of the family's 1533-position model. The record is from RNAcentral. Lineage: Bacteria; Bacillati; Cyanobacteriota.
CGCAAGCCUGACGGAGCAAUACCGCGUGAGGGAUGACGGCCUAUGGGUUGUAAACCUCUUUUUUCAGGGAGGAAUCAAUGACGUGUACCUGAAGAAUAAGCAUCGGCUAACUCCGUGCCAGCAGCCGCGGUAAGACGGAGGAUGCAAGCGUUAUCCGGAAUUAUUGGGCGUAAAGCGUCCGUAGGCGGCUAAUCAAGUCUGCUGUCAAAGCCCACAGCUCAACUGUGGAGAGGCAGUGGAAACUGAAUAGCUAGAGUGUGGUAGGGGCAGAGGGAAUUCCUGGUGUAGCGGUGAAAUGCGUAGAUAUCAGGAAGAACACCAGUGGCGAAGGCGCUCUGCUGGGCCAUAACUGACGCUGAUGGACGAAAGCUAGGGGAGCG